Molecule: RNA transcript, 1145 nt
Organism: Cicer arietinum (chickpea)
Lineage: Eukaryota; Viridiplantae; Streptophyta; Magnoliopsida; Fabales; Fabaceae
Source: RefSeq, a predicted model, not a curated record
UAGUUUUACAUCUUGAAUUGUUGAUUGUUUGUUUGAAUUGUGUGUGUGCUAAUUGUUUUUAUUCAUCUUAUUCUUUAUAGAUGACUUCAAAAGAAAAGAUUAGACUCAAGCUUCCAUUCAAGAAAAAUCGCAUCAUUUUACCGCAUAAGGUAACUCAAGCAGCCCAACAGGUACAAGCAAUAGUUGAUCAAUUGCCACUAGAUGUCAAUGCCACUACACCAACCUCACACUAUGUGCGGCAUCCCACCCAACAACUUGUUCAACCUCCUACCCAACAAGCUGCAGUGCUUCCAAUCCAACCUAAUAAGGUGCAUGGUACUGAACCAAUUAUAGUGAUGAUGCCCACACCGAGUUUUGUCCCAGAAGACAAUAUUUCCCUGAUUGCUGAUCAUUCACCGUCACAACCAUUAACAUCUGUUGCCUCACGACAUACUUUAAUUUCAGCUAACCCACCACCUUCAACACAUGUUGCUAUUGGUAAUAAGACUCAAGGGUCACAAUGCUCCAAUUCUAGUCAUGGGGUUGUGCCUGAUGGGAGAAUAAUGAUAUGGCCGGAUGGUCGAGGGUGGUUACCGUGUAGGGUGGCCUCGAGAGCCCUCACCUCAGUCAUUACAUCACAAUAUGUUGAUCCAUAACACGAGCAAAAGCGGCAUAACACGAGGCACGAGAGCCGCGAGAGGAGCUAAGAAAAGUUGAGCAACGUCGACAAGAGUGUUGGAAUCAAAGGAUCAAAAUCCAACAAAGAGGAAGUUCAACAAACAGAGCAACGCACUACAGAAUUACAGAUGCAGCUAGCAACAUUGGCAAAAAGUGUUGCUUCCAUACAGGCUGAGUCAUCCCGUUGUCGUCGUCAUCCAGAUUAUGACGAGGAUGAGUCUAGCGAUGAUGACGGCGAGGAGCAAUACUGGUUUUAGUUUUAGUUUCGUAUAGUAGUUAUGACUACAUAAUUUGUUUAGACUUGUAGGCAUUAUCUAUAUAUAUUUCUACGAUAGUGUCGUUAUGUGUAUUUUAAAACUUAUGGCAGUAACAAUGUGAUUAUUUUGAGAAUCAUUGUAGUGUAAAUUGUCCUUAUUUUGAGACUUAUGGAAGUCAGAAUGUGUAUUUUGAAAACACUAUUUACAUAAUAUUUCACUUUGUUUUGACAA